Molecule: ribosomal RNA, 509 nt
Filed under: uncultured bacterium
Lineage: Bacteria
Description: bacterial SSU rRNA
Rfam family: Bacterial small subunit ribosomal RNA
Source: RNAcentral
GAUGAACGCUAGCGGCAGGCUUAAUACAUGCAAGUCGAGGGGCAGCACGGGUAGCAAUACCUGGUGGCGACCGGCAAACGGGUGCGGAACACGUACGCAACUUUCCCAAACUGGUGAAUAGCCCUCCGAAAGGAGGAUUAAUACACCGUAACAUAAUGAAGUGGCAUCACUUUAUUAUUAUAGCUCCGGCGGUUUUGGAUGGGCGUGCGCCUGAUUAGGUAGUUGGCGGGGUAACGGCCCACCAAGCCUGCGAUCAGUAACUGGUGUGAGAGCACGACCAGUCACACGGGCACUGAGACACGGGCCCGACUCCUACGGGAGGCAGCAGUAAGGAAUAUUGGUCAAUGGACGAAAGUCUGAACCAGCCAUGCCGCGUGAAGGACGAAGGUCCUCUGGAUUGUAAACUUCUUUUAUCUGGGACGAAAAAAGGGAAUUCUUUCUCACUUGACGGUACCAGAGGAAUAAGCACCGGCUAACUCCGUGCCAGCAGCCGCGGUAAUGUCUGUACU